This 255-nucleotide ribosomal RNA is filed under the name uncultured bacterium. Its description in RNAcentral is "partial 16S ribosomal RNA". It matches the Rfam family "Bacterial small subunit ribosomal RNA", at positions 524 to 776 of the family's 1533-position model. The record is from RNAcentral.
GACAUAGGUCGCAAACGUUAUCCGGAAUUAUUGGGCGUAAAGGAUGCGUAGAUGGUUCAGUAAGUUACUGGUGGGAAAUCGAGGCCCAACCUCGUGGAAGUUAGUAAUACUGUUGAACUUGAGUGCAGGAGAGGUUAACGGAACUUCAUGUGGAGCGGUAAAAUGCGUAGAUAUAUGAAAGAACAUCAAUAUGGCGAAGGCAGUUAACUAUUCUGCUACUGACGUUGAGGCAUGAAAGCGUGGGGAGCAAAACGG